This 433-nucleotide ribosomal RNA is filed under the name uncultured bacterium. Its description in RNAcentral is "bacterial SSU rRNA". It matches the Rfam family "Bacterial small subunit ribosomal RNA", at positions 957 to 1391 of the family's 1533-position model. The record is from RNAcentral.
GAACGCGAAGAACCUUACCAGGUCUUGACAUCCCUCUGACCGCUCUAGAGAUAGAGCUUUCCUUCGGGACAGAGGUGACAGGUGGUGCAUGGUUGUCGUCAGCUCGUGUCGUGAGAUGUUGGGUUAAGUCCCGCAACGAGCGCAACCCCUAUUGUUAGUUGCCAUCAUUCAGUUGGGCACUCUAGCGAGACUGCCGGUAAUAAACCGGAGGAAGGUGGGGAUGACGUCAAAUCAUCAUGCCCCUUAUGACCUGGGCUACACACGUGCUACAAUGGCUGGUACAACGAGUCGCAAGCCGGUGACGGCAAGCUAAUCUCUUAAAGCCAGUCUCAGUUCGGAUUGUAGGCUGCAACUCGCCUACAUGAAGUCGGAAUCGCUAGUAAUCGCGGAUCAGCACGUCGCGGUGAAUACGUUCCCGGGUCUUGUACACACC